UUGCUGCUGCUGCUGCUGUUUUUAUUGUUGAUGUUGCUGCUGUGCACGUGUCCUAGGGGUCCUAGGAGGCCAUUUUGGAUGAAGGCAGAGUGACCGGAAAGAGGCGCCACCAGAGGAGAGGCAAAUGAAGACAUGCCACCACCGCCAUAUUGGUUGAGGGCAGUUGGGCCUAGCCUGGCCAUUUUGUGGCACUGGUCUCCCUUGUGAGCAUUUCCCUGAGCGCUAAGCUCCUUCAGGAGCUGCCCAGGUAGACUGCCACUGGCACGGGAGGCUCCACCCGAGAGAAGAAGCGCCUAGGAGGCCAGGGUAGCCCCACAAGCUGGGCCUCCAUUUCUUAGCUGGGCCGCCUCCAGGAACCCAAGUGCUGGCGCCUGCAACUUUGCCUGCGACUGCUGGGAUUGCUCUGACAAGAUCCAUUGACACUAGUUUUGGCGUCACCAAAGGAAUCAGGGAGAUGUGCUUCAAUUCCCCUCGCAGAUAGUAUUUAACCCAUCACAGCAUCUCUCAAAGCACCCUGGGAACUGUAGUUUCCUAUGGGGGGAGAGAAUAUUCUGCACAACCUUUCCCAAGGGAACUCUGGGAGUUAUAACUCUGAGAGGGUCUCUUUGGGAAACAGAACAAACUACAGUUCCCACGAUGUUCCCCAAAGCACCAUGGGAACUAUUGCUUGCUCUGGGUGUUGAGGGUUGCGAAUCCCUUGACAGAUCUAGUUCCCAAGCCCAUUUCUUUUCCUAGGGAACUCUGGGAACUGUAGCUCAUGGGAGGAACAUCACUUGGUGUCCUGAAUUCUGGGAACUGUAGCUUGCUCAGGGCGCCUGAUUCCUUCUCCUUCUAGGCUACCGGAAUGGGCUGGAACCGCCAAGUGUCACCUUGGCCUGCGACUUUGAAGGCACCGCCUGCAGCUGGGAGGACGUCAGCAUGUCUGGGUACUGGUGGUGCCCAGGGUGGGGCAGAGGCUGGGUGUGCGGCCCCGACUCCCCCUUCAACCACAUUCUGGGCACCGACCAGGGUAAACUUGCUUCAUUUGAAAGGCAGAGAAGCAUUGCUUAGCAGGUAGAGCACCCCUUUGACCUGGCGCCCCCCAACCAGGCUGGUACAUGAGCACCUCGGAGCAGCGAACCAAGCCGCCUGACUCCGCUCCCUGACCAUGAGUGACGCAGCCACAGCCUGUGAACUCCGCACCUGGUACAGUAUGGCUGAGAAAGGUAAGCUUGGGGCACUGGUCGGAAAACCAACAGGAGCAGAGCCAUGUACUUGGCCUUUUUCCCUGUGUGGAGGAAAUGCCACCAGGCACAGUUGUCGUAAUUCCGUACAUUUCUAAGCUGCAGGACAUAUCGUGGUGCUAUCAUAUAAUUAUUAUUUAUUGAUUUCCAGACCACUGACCCGCCUGGUAGGGCCAGCAUAAUGAAAUACCAUUCUUAUCAUGAAAUUUACUGAUGCCCUGCUUCCCGUCCCCCUUUGGGAUUCCUGGCAGCUGACUGAUAAAAAUGAGAGCAGUUGAGAUGAGAUGUCAUUCUGCAAUUCUCGCAGGGGUCAGGCUAGAUGACCCCCGGGUCCCAUCUCCUCUGUUUAUAUAACUAUGGUUCCCACCUGCAGGGGCCAGGCUAGAUGACGCCUGGUUCCUCACCCCUCCGCCCUUCCUGUGCAGGACUCAACGGAAGCUUCCCUGUGGAGCUGAGCCACGGCAACCACAUUGUCCCCUGUGGCGAAGCCCUGCCUCAUCCUCAGGCACCUGGCACCCCCUGCUGGCCUACACCGGAAGAGUCCACAGUGCUUUCCAGUUAGGUCUUGGGCUCCUCGCCCUCCCCGGCCGGCUCCUUAUCUGGAGCAUGUCAAGAGCGCAGGUGACCUUCUCCUCGGUGGCGAGUGUGGCACUGGACAACGUGUAGUUCAUGAACUGUGGCCCCCAAAGUAAAGCUUUAUUUUCCGCCUCCCCAAAACCUGGCCAACCAGAUAGAUUGCUUGGAGGCAACUCAUUAACCGUCCCAACAUUUCCAAGUCCCUGGAGCUGCACCCCAGGCAAGCCGUGCCUGCCAAGCAGCUGCGUGGCCCCUGCCCGCACCGAGGACUGUGGCGACAGUGGAGAUGAACGGGGUUGCGGUGACCGGUCAAGGGGGCAUUCGAGGCCAGGGGAACAUUGGCACCACCGGAAGGGAGGGGGUUACCAGGAAACCUCCCAACCAGGCCAAAGCAUUUGAGGAGGGUGCAGAGUAUGCUGGCUGAAAUGGGGCUUACCCUGGGGAAAAUCCUGAGCGGAAGUUGCAAGUUGGUGGCCACCACUGCCUCUUGUGGCAGGGAGUUCCAUAAUGUGCGCUUUGUAAAGAAGUACUUCCUUUCUUUGAUGUGUCCUGAAUCUUCCAGCGUCCAGCUCCAUGAGUUCUACCAUUAUGAGAGGGAGAAAAACUUUCCUCCAUCCACAUUCUCCAGGCCAUGUCUCAUUGGCCUGGAGAAAUCACAUCUUUGCACAAUUUAAUGCACAAACAGUCAAAGAACAAA
Molecule: non-coding RNA, 2496 nt
Organism: Podarcis muralis (Common wall lizard)
Lineage: Eukaryota; Metazoa; Chordata; Lepidosauria; Squamata; Lacertidae
Source: RefSeq, a predicted model, not a curated record